GAGUGAGUGUGUGUCUGUUAAUGUGUGUGUGUGUGUCUGCUAGUGAGUGAGUGUGUCUGAUUGUGUGUGUCUGUUAUUGUGUAUGUGUGUGUGUUUGCCUGUGAGUGUGUGUCUGUUAGUGUGUGUGUGUGUGAAUAAAAAAAGUGUUAAUGUGAGUGAGUGUGUGUCUGUUAAUGUGUGUGUGUGUGUGUUUUGUUAGUGUGUGUGUGUGUGUGUGUGUCUGACUGUGUGUGUGUCUGACUGUUUGCCAGUGAGUGUUUGCCUGUGAGUGUGUGUGUGUGUGUGUGUGUGUGUCUGUUAGUUUGUGUGUGUUUGCCUGUGAGUGUGUGUCUGUUAAUGUGUGUGAGUUUGUGUGUGUGUCUGCUAGUGUAUCUGUGUGUCUCUGACUGUGUGAGUGUGUGUGUCUGCUAGUGAGUGAGUGUGUGUCUGUUAGUGUGUCUGACUGUGUGUGUCUGUUAGUGUGUAUGUGUGUGUCUGACUGUGUCAGUGAGUGUGUGUUUGCCUGUGAGUGUGUGUCUGUUAGUGUGUGUGUGUGUGUGUGUGUGUGAAUAAAAAAAAUGUGUUAAUGUGAGUGAGUGUGUCUGACUGUGUGUGUGUGUUUGCCUGUGAGUGUGUGUGUGUGUGAGUUUGUGUGUCUGCUAGUGAGUGUGUAUCUGUUAGUGUGUGUGUCUGACUGUGUUUGUCUGUUAGUGUGUGUGUGUGUGUGUGUGUCUGCUAGUGAGUGUGUGUCUUAGUGUGAGUGUGUGUCAGUGAGUGUGUGUGUCUGUUAGUGAGUGUGUCUGUUAGUGUGUGUGUGUUUCUGUUAGCGAGUGUAUGCGUAUCUGUCAGUGAAUGUGCGUGUGUGUGUAUUUAGAAGAACACUCAGCAUGACAGGUGGAUGCGCAUUAGGG
This is a non-coding RNA of Pelobates cultripes (western spadefoot toad), 890 nucleotides long. NCBI's taxonomy places the organism in Eukaryota, Metazoa, Chordata, Amphibia, Anura, Pelobatidae. The record is from the annotation of a GenBank genome assembly.